Molecule: long non-coding RNA, 294 nt
Organism: Nicotiana attenuata
Lineage: Eukaryota; Viridiplantae; Streptophyta; Magnoliopsida; Solanales; Solanaceae
Exons: 3
Source: RefSeq, a predicted model, not a curated record
UCUUUUUUCUUUUUAUUUCUCUUUUCUUUCUCUUCUCUUACCCCCUUCACUCCUGUGAAUAGUCGGUCGCCGUCACCUACUCAAAUUUCUGGCGAUAGCAUGCAUCGCUUCUCUGGAAGCGUGCAUCUUCCCCGGCGAGAGUGAUUCCGAGCUAUAUAGAUGUUAUGGAAUGAAUUCAAGUGAUUUGGAGCUUUGAAAUCCGAGUUAAAGCCCAAGGAUACAAGCCGGGAUCGCGUUUGGGGUCAACGGAUGAUAGUUAGAGCGAACGAAGAAUCGAGCAGGCAUAUUGUGCAC